Molecule: non-coding RNA, 783 nt
Organism: Triticum urartu
Lineage: Eukaryota; Viridiplantae; Streptophyta; Magnoliopsida; Poales; Poaceae
Source: RefSeq, a predicted model, not a curated record
CCUGCUCCUGGUCACCGGCGCGGUGGCCAUAGACCAAAUUGUAACUCUGUUGCUAUCUCUAGCUCGUGUUAGUUUGUUGGUUACUGAAAUUAGAUGGAAGACUGCACUGAAUUGUUGGUGAUUUCGUAGCGAGCAGCAUGAUCCUCCCGGCAUCAUCCGCAAAUGGGGCGCAACAGCUGCGGUGAUGGAUCCGGUUCCAGGAGAAAGCACUGGGGGUGGUGGGUGCAGCAGCAUCAUGAAGGUUGGUGAUCUUAUGAAUUCUGCUAUUAUGGGAAAAUCCGAGAGGUUGAUGUAGAGAAUGAGAAGGUUAUCCAGGAGUAUGUUCUAGGUGAAUAUGACCCUGAUGCAACCGAUGCUUACCAUGACAAUCACACCUCCGAGUCUGCUGAUGAGGAUCACGUGAAAGAUACUUCUAAGAGAAAGCACCUGGGAUAUACUAAACAGAGUGGUGCCUUAACAACUUCUUGCGAUAUAAUGAGAUGUUGAAGCGGCAGACCGAAUCCAUGACACCGAAGUGCAAUUGCGGCAGAUUAUCUCUAUUUUCCAUUUAAUUUUUCUUAUUAUUGGAGUGAGAACGGGUAGAAUGAGGAACUGUGUGAUAGUAGAUACAACAACUAUGUUUGCAAUUGUUAAUGACAUACAUACUUGCAUUUUCUUUGAAGUGGUUAAUCGUGAGUACCAACGCAUAAUGAUGGGGUUUUGGCUCAUUUAUUGGCUUCGGUGUCCAGUUAACCAUGAAAUAGGAGCCCAUGUCAAUUAUGUAUGCUCUUACGGGAUGUGUUC